RNAcentral lists this ribosomal RNA (405 nucleotides) under uncultured bacterium. RNAcentral's name for it is "partial 16S ribosomal RNA". It matches the Rfam family "Bacterial small subunit ribosomal RNA", at positions 30 to 526 of the family's 1533-position model. The record is from RNAcentral.
AUUGAACGCUGGCGGCAGGCUUAACACAUGCAAGUCGAACGAGUGGCGGACUGGUGAGUAAUGCUUGGGAAUCUGGCUUAUGGAGGGGGAUAACGACGGGAAACUGUCGCUAAUACCGCGUACCAUCGGAUGAGCCCAAGUGGGAUUAGGUAGUUGGUGGGGUAAUGGCCUACCAAGCCGACGAUCUCUAGCGUGUCUGAGAGGAUGACCAGCCACACCGGGACUGAGACACGGCCCUGACUCCUACGCGAGGCAGCAGUGGGGAAUAUUGCGCAAUGGGUGGAACCUGACGCAGCCAUGCCGCGUGAAUGAAGAAGUCCUUCGGGUUUUAAAGUUCUUUCGGUGACGAAGCGUUAAAUACAGAAGAAGCAGCGGCUAACUCCGUGCGAGCAGCCGCGGUAAUUC